CCAGACUCCUACGGGAGGCAGCAGUGGGGAAUAUUGCACAAUGGGGGAAACCCUGAUGCAGCAACGCCGCGUGAGUGAAGAAGUAUUUCGAUAUGUAAAGCUCUAUCAGCAGGGAAGAAGAUGACGGUACCUGAGUAAGAAGCCCCGGCUAACUACGUGCCAGCAGCCGCGGUAAUACGUAGGGGGCAAGCGUUAUCCGGAUUUACUGGGUGUAAAGGGAGCGUAGGUGGCAUGGCAAGCCAGAAGUGAAAACCCGGGGCUUAACCCCGCGGAUUGCUUUUGGAACUGUCAGGCUGGAGUGCAGGAGGGGCAGGCGGAAUUCCUGGUGUAGCGGUGAAAUGCGUAGAUAUCAGGAGGAACACCGGUGGCGAAGGCGGCCUGCUGGACUGUAACUGACACUGAGGCUCGAAAGCGUGGGGAGCAAACAGGAUUAGAUACCCGCGUAACA
This 448-nucleotide ribosomal RNA is filed under the name uncultured bacterium. Its description in RNAcentral is "bacterial SSU rRNA". It matches the Rfam family "Bacterial small subunit ribosomal RNA", at positions 331 to 795 of the family's 1533-position model. The record is from RNAcentral.